This 893-nucleotide ribosomal RNA is filed under the name Escherichia coli. RNAcentral's name for it is "partial 23S ribosomal RNA". It matches the Rfam family "Bacterial large subunit ribosomal RNA", at positions 1917 to 2809 of the family's 2925-position model. The record is from RNAcentral. Lineage: Bacteria; Pseudomonadati; Pseudomonadota; Gammaproteobacteria; Enterobacterales; Enterobacteriaceae.
GCCCCGGUAAACGGCGGCCGUAACUAUAACGGUCCUAAGGUAGCGAAAUUCCUUGUCGGGUAAGUUCCGACCUGCACGAAUGGCGUAAUGAUGGCCAGGCUGUCUCCACCCGAGACUCAGUGAAAUUGAACUCGCUGUGAAGAUGCAGUGUACCCGCGGCAAGACGGAAAGACCCCGUGAACCUUUACUAUAGCUUGACACUGAACAUUGAGCCUUGAUGUGUAGGAUAGGUGGGAGGCUUUGAAGUGUGGACGCCAGUCUGCAUGGAGCCGACCUUGAAAUACCACCCUUUAAUGUUUGAUGUUCUAACGUGGGCCCGUAAUCCGGGUUGCGGACAGUGUCUGGUGGGUAGUUUGACUGGGGCGGUCUCCUCCUAAAGAGUAACGGAGGAGCACGAAGGUUGGCUAAUCCUGGUCGGACAUCAGGAGGUUAGUGCAAUGGCAUAAGCCAGCUUGACUGCGAGCGUGACGGCGCGAGCAGGUGCGAAAGCAGGUCAUAGUGAUCCGGUGGUUCUGAAUGGAAGGGCCAUCGCUCAACGGAUAAAAGGUACUCCGGGGAUAACAGGCUGAUACCGCCCAAGAGUUCAUAUCGACGGCGGUGUUUGGCACCUCGAUGUCGGCUCAUCACAUCCUGGGGCUGAAGUAGGUCCCAAGGGUAUGGCUGUUCGCCAUUUAAAGUGGUACGCGAGCUGGGUUUAGAACGUCGUGAGACAGUUCGGUCCCUAUCUGCCGUGGGCGCUGGAGAACUGAGGGGGGCUGCUCCUAGUACGAGAGGACCGGAGUGGACGCAUCACUGGUGUUCGGGUUGUCAUGCCAAUGGCACUGCCCGGUAGCUAAAUGCGGAAGAGAUAAGUGCUGAAAGCAUCUAAGCACGAAACUUGCCCCGAGAUGAGU